UUAGGAAUUUUGCGCAAUGGGGGAAACCCUGACGCAGCAACGCCGCGUGAGUGAUGAAGGCCUUCGGGUUGUAAAGCUCUUUUAGUUGAGAAGAAAAAAAUGACGGUAUCAACAGAAACAGCACCGGCUAACUCCGUGCCAGCAGCCGCGGUAAUACGGAGGGUGCAAGCGUUACUCGGAAUUAUUGGGCGUAAAGCGCGCGUAGGCGGCUUGGUAAGUUUGAUGUGAAAGCCCCGGGCUCAAUCCGGGA
RNAcentral lists this ribosomal RNA (250 nucleotides) under uncultured bacterium. Its description in RNAcentral is "partial 16S ribosomal RNA". It matches the Rfam family "Bacterial small subunit ribosomal RNA", at positions 355 to 619 of the family's 1533-position model. The record is from RNAcentral.